ACUCGUGCCUGGCAGGGAGACACCAUGGUCAUGAAGGUGGUUUUCCCACAGGAAGCCUUAUGGACUGCACCUGAGUGUGCUGACCCCCGUGAUUUCCCCGAAUGUGAGGGAUUUGUGGCAGUGAGGGACUGAGUUCAUGCUGUUCCCUG
RNAcentral lists this small nuclear RNA (149 nucleotides) under Octodon degus (degu). RNAcentral describes it as "U1 spliceosomal RNA (ENSODEG00000020983.1)". It matches the Rfam family "U1 spliceosomal RNA". Rfam says of the family: U1 is a small nuclear RNA (snRNA) component of the spliceosome (involved in pre-mRNA splicing). Its 5' end forms complementary base pairs with the 5' splice junction, thus defining the 5' donor site of an intron. The record is from RNAcentral. Lineage: Eukaryota; Metazoa; Chordata; Mammalia; Rodentia; Octodontidae.